RNAcentral lists this ribosomal RNA (583 nucleotides) under Pseudomonas sp. D46. RNAcentral's name for it is "bacterial SSU rRNA". It matches the Rfam family "Bacterial small subunit ribosomal RNA", at positions 213 to 788 of the family's 1533-position model. Lineage: Bacteria; Pseudomonadati; Pseudomonadota; Gammaproteobacteria; Pseudomonadales; Pseudomonadaceae. The record is from RNAcentral.
UUGCGCUAUCAGAUGAGCCUAGGUCGGAUUAGCUAGUUGGUGAGGUAAUGGCUCACCAAGGCGACGAUCCGUAACUGGUCUGAGAGGAUGAUCAGUCACACUGGAACUGAGACACGGUCCAGACUCCUACGGGAGGCAGCAGUGGGGAAUAUUGGACAAUGGGCGAAAGCCUGAUCCAGCCAUGCCGCGUGUGUGAAGAAGGUCUUCGGAUUGUAAAGCACUUUAAGUUGGGAGGAAGGGCAUUAACCUAAUACGUUAGUGUUUUGACGUUACCGACAGAAUAAGCACCGGCUAACUCUGUGCCAGCAGCCGCGGUAAUACAGAGGGUGCAAGCGUUAAUCGGAAUUACUGGGCGUAAAGCGCGCGUAGGUGGUUCGUUAAGUUGGAUGUGAAAUCCCCGGGCUCAACCUGGGAACUGCAUUCAAAACUGUCGAGCUAGAGUAUGGUAGAGGGUGGUGGAAUUUCCUGUGUAGCGGUGAAAUGCGUAGAUAUAGGAAGGAACACCAGUGGCGAAGGCGACCACCUGGACUGAUACUGACACUGAGGUGCGAAAGCGUGGGGAGCAAACAGGAUUAGAUACCCU